RNAcentral lists this ribosomal RNA (243 nucleotides) under Triticum aestivum (bread wheat). Its description in RNAcentral is "partial small subunit ribosomal RNA". Lineage: Eukaryota; Viridiplantae; Streptophyta; Magnoliopsida; Poales; Poaceae. The record is from RNAcentral.
AUGUGUGUACCAAAAGACCAAGGAGGAAUGAGUUUUCGAGACAUACAUUAUUUCAAUAUGGCCUUGUUAGCCAAACAAGCGUGGCGCCUGCUUGAUAAUCCUGAUUCCCUAUGUGCCACCAUUUUAAGAGUUAAAUAUUUUCCGGAUGGAGAUUUAAUGAAUGCAAGUUUGAAAAAAAGAUCUUCUUUCACUUGGCAAAGCAUCAUGGCUGGAGUGGAUUCUCUCAAAAAAGGUUAUAUUUGA